GGGAUGGAGACUAUUCUGCAAUUACUCGUAGGACUAUUGGGGCUACAAGUAGCCUGGGUCAGUAGCCAAGAAGUGGAGCAGAGUCCUCGGUCAUUGACCAUCCAAGAGGGAGAGGCUCUCACCAUAAACUGCAAUUCAUCAAAAAUUUUUUAUGGCUUUCACUGGUACUGGCAGAAGUAUGGUGAAGGUCUCAUUUUCUUGAUGAAGCUACAGAAAGGCGGAGAAGAGAAAAGUCAUAAAAAAAUAACUUUCAAGUUGGAUGAGAAAAAGCAACAAAGUUCCCUGCAUAUCACAGCUGCCCAGCCCAGUCACUCAGGCAUCUACUUCUGUGCAGUAGAUGCACAGUGA
This is a non-coding RNA of Carlito syrichta (Philippine tarsier), 348 nucleotides long. NCBI's taxonomy places the organism in Eukaryota, Metazoa, Chordata, Mammalia, Primates, Tarsiidae. The record is from the annotation of a RefSeq genome assembly.